Molecule: ribosomal RNA, 496 nt
Filed under: uncultured bacterium
Lineage: Bacteria
Description: partial 16S ribosomal RNA
Rfam family: Bacterial small subunit ribosomal RNA
Source: RNAcentral
AUGAACGCUGGCGGCGUGCCUCAUACAUGCCAGUCGAGCGAACAGAUAAGGAGCUUGCUCCUUUGACGUUAGCGGCGGACGGGUGAGUAACACGUGGGUAACCUACCUAUAAGACUGGAAUAACUCCGGGAAACCGGGGCUAAUGCCGGAUAACAUUUAGAACCGCAUGGUUCUAAAGUGAAAGAUGGUUUUGCUAUCACUUAUAGAUGGACCCGCGCCGUAUUAGCUAGCUGGUAAGGUAACGGCUUACCAAGGCAACGAUACGUAGCCGACCUGAGAGGGUGAUCGGCCACACUGGAACUGAGACACGGUCCAGACUCCUACGGGAGGCAGCAGUAGGGAAUCUUCCGCAAUGGGCGAAAGCCUGACGGAGCAACGCCGCGUGAGUGAUGAAGGUCUUCGGAUCGUAAAACUCUGUUAUUAGGGAAGAACAAAUGUGUAAGUAACUGUGCACGUCUUGACGGUACCUAAUCAGAAAGCCACGGCUAACUACGUG